RNAcentral lists this long non-coding RNA (808 nucleotides) under Olea europaea subsp. europaea. The record is from RNAcentral. Lineage: Eukaryota; Viridiplantae; Streptophyta; Magnoliopsida; Lamiales; Oleaceae.
UGCACUUUCUGAAAUUGCAAUAUAGGUCCCGUUUCCAACCAAUUCUGUCCGUUUUCACAGAAAAACCCUAAAGAAAAUCCAAUUUACUUUAAUAUCAAAAUUCAAAGCAAUAUAGAAGUUUGCAGUCUGACCCCAGUCCAAUUUACAAAUAGAGCCCCCAAAUUAUGCAAAUUGUUGAAGGGGCCUCCUGUUAAAAUUGCAAGUUUAACCCUACUCCCUUAAUUGCAGAUAGGGGCCUCUAAUCUCACAAAUUGUAAGAGAGGCCCCCGUCCCCAAAAAAUACCACUGCUGACUGAGACGCCCUAAAUCCACACCCAAUUCUUCUCCCACAGGAGCUGCUUUUCGAUCUUCGCUGUCGGCCGAAAUAAAACCUUAAAUCCACCAUAUAUUUCUCCUCCAACAGCAUCAAUUCUCAAUUUCACAACAAGAAAAAUAUGUAAACAUAGAACAAUCAUAUUAUACAACACAUAAAAUCAAUUCACAAAUGCCGAAGCCAUGUACUGCUUCUGAAAUUUUGCAAGGUUUUAGAGGCCUUUUGGUGUAUUGAAUUUUGGGAUUGCUUUUGUAUAUUCUAGCCAACAGUGCCGCCGACGGACAGAGAUUUUCAAAAUUGUAUGGUUACAGUUUGAGUUUGAGAAAUUUAACAAAACCAGGCACAUAUACCAUAUUAGAGAGAAAAGUUGACCAUGAUUUGCAGGAGGCAAAUCAGCAGAGAAAACCAAGAGCUGGGUUUGCAGAUUUAGUGCUGAAAACGGGUGUCUGCAAUUGGGAAUUGGGUUUCUUCACAGCCAAGCCUUUUUAAUUUAAC